Molecule: ribosomal RNA, 99 nt
Filed under: Enterobacter cloacae
Lineage: Bacteria; Pseudomonadati; Pseudomonadota; Gammaproteobacteria; Enterobacterales; Enterobacteriaceae
Also listed under: 7 other names
Source: RNAcentral
GGUGGUCCCACCUGACCCCAUGCCGAACUCAGAAGUGAAACGCCGUAGCGCCGAUGGUAGUGUGGGGUCUCCCCAUGUGAGAGUAGGGAACUGCCAGAC